This 22-nucleotide non-coding RNA is filed under the name Arabidopsis thaliana (thale cress). The record is from RNAcentral. Lineage: Eukaryota; Viridiplantae; Streptophyta; Magnoliopsida; Brassicales; Brassicaceae.
UGUGGCAAAUUUUGAUUGGUCA